This 469-nucleotide ribosomal RNA is filed under the name uncultured bacterium. RNAcentral's name for it is "partial 16S ribosomal RNA". It matches the Rfam family "Bacterial small subunit ribosomal RNA", at positions 28 to 507 of the family's 1533-position model. The record is from RNAcentral.
GACGAACGCUGGCGGCGUGCUUAACACAUGCAAGUCGAACGGUGAAGCGAGUGCUUGCACUCGUGGAUCAGUGGCGAACGGGUGAGUAACACGUGAGUAACCUGCCCAUCACUCUGGGAUAAGCACUGGAAACGGUGUCUAAUACUGGAUACGACCAACCCUUGCAUGGGGUGUUGGUGGAAAGAUUUAUCGGUGAUGGAUGGACUCGCGGCCUAUCAGCUUGUUGGCGGGGUAAUGGCCCACCAAGGCGACGACGGGUAGCCGGCCUGAGAGGGUGACCGGCCAUACUGGGACUGAGACACGGCCCAGACUCCUACGGGAGGCAGCAGUGGGGAAUAUUGCACAAUGGGCGAAAGCCUGAUGCAGCGACGCCGCGUGAGGGAUGACGGCCUUCGGGUUGUAAACCUCUUUCAGCAGGGAAGAAGCGAAAGUGACGGUACCUGCAGAAGAAGCACCGGCUAACUACGUG